This 253-nucleotide ribosomal RNA is filed under the name uncultured bacterium. Its description in RNAcentral is "partial 16S ribosomal RNA". It matches the Rfam family "Bacterial small subunit ribosomal RNA", at positions 524 to 776 of the family's 1533-position model. The record is from RNAcentral.
UACGGAGGGUGCAAACGUUGCUCGGAAUCAUUGGGCGUAAAGCGCACGUAGGCGGCCUGUUAAGUCGGGUGUGAAAGCCCGGGGCUCAACUCCGGAAUUGCCUUUAAGACUGCAUCGCUCGAAUUGUGGAGAGGUAAGUGGAAUUCCGAGUGUAGAGGUGAAAUUCGUAGAUAUUCGGAAGAACACCAGUGGCGAAGGCGACUUACUGGACACAUAUUGACGCUGAGGUGCGAAAGCGUGGGGAGCAAACAGG